GAAAUAAAAACUAUAUUUCACGUUUACUUGUUACUAUUGAUAUUAUAUUGCCAGUGCUGGACUUUCAUUACUGUUGCUGUUAUAAUAAUCAUUAAAAAUGUGUUUCUACUUUUGUUUUGGAAUUUUACUUGGUUUUAUUAAUUUAAUUACCAUACCAAAGUUUUCAACCGGAAUGCCAUGCUCAGGUGGAUCAACUUCUAACAAUAUGUCAGAACAAGUAUUUAUAGUUGAGUAUCCCAUAGCAACUUUUUAUUCGAAUUUUUUGAGAUGGAAAAUAAUGAAUAUUUUACGUAAUAAUGAAAAUAUUAAUGAAUUUUAUGAUAAUACAGUGAAGUCACCUAUAUUUAAUGACGACAUGAGAGGUGAAUUGUCGCGGAUAAUUGAAGAGAUAGCUGAAUCAGAUGAUCAAACGAGCACAAUAAAUAAAUGUAUAUCUGAUAUACAUUCAUCUAUAAAACAAAAAGAACAAAGUUUAAAAGACGAAUUAAGUCAAGGUGAUAAAAAGAAUGAUGGCACCGUCACAAAAGAAUAUGCAAAACAAUGUCUUUUAAAUACUUCAUUCUUAGUAGAUCCUCUUAAUUCUGAACAAAUAUGUGACUUUGUAAUCGACAACAAUUUAAAUGACGAACAUCAAGUCGUUUACGAUAGUAUAAUUAGGAUGUAUAUUCGAAAGGCUUUUCUCAAAAUAUUACUCUUUGGUCAAGGAAAUUCGACGACUUUGUCAUUUUUAAGUAAAAAGUGAAUUUAGUAAUAUAAUUGUUCUCAAUGCGGUACUUAAUACAUAUAUGUUACAAGACAAAAAAAUAAAAAAAUUGUUUUAACUUUUGAAUAAUUUUAAUGGGAAUAUUUAAAACUUAUGUUCACCAACUUACACCCGGAUCUGCUUAAAAACUUUAUGGUUAAUAUGAAACAAUAUUUUUCGUCAAAUCGCAAUAAUUAGAAUGAUACAUAAAUACUAAUAAAUACUUGAAGUAGCUUCUACUCAUAGUUUAUAAAAAUAUAGUAAAACUUCAUUAAAACUUUUUGUUCCAUAAUAUAAUUAUUCAUAAAUGUUUAAAUUGUUGUAAAUAAAUUUAUGUUUUAUUUAUAACAUGUAUCAUA
RNA transcript from Daktulosphaira vitifoliae (grape phylloxera), 1101 nucleotides. RefSeq lists it as uncharacterized. NCBI's taxonomy places the organism in Eukaryota, Metazoa, Arthropoda, Insecta, Hemiptera, Phylloxeridae. The transcript is spliced from 5 exons. The record is from RefSeq and is a predicted model, not a curated record.